Molecule: long non-coding RNA, 373 nt
Filed under: Falco tinnunculus (common kestrel)
Lineage: Eukaryota; Metazoa; Chordata; Aves; Falconiformes; Falconidae
Description: lncRNA (ENSFTIG00000006065.1)
Source: RNAcentral
CAUGGAGGCUUAAAAUUGUGGUGUGAUCAUAAAGGUGACAUCCUUCUAACAGGUGCUUUAGAAGUGGAUGGAGGCAGCUCAGAACCCCAGCCUGAACCUGGAAGGAUGCUGCAGGUGUGCAAACAUACAACAAAGAAAGGAGCUCUGCCUAAAGCUUUCCAAACUGACUGCAAGAUGAAAUACCACAGGUGGAUGAAAGGAAGGCAGGGAAGAACAAAAGGAAACCGUGAGUCACAUUGCGCUAUUAUCUGAGAAAUGCUGCUGCUCACAGAGGUGAAUUCUAGCCCUUGAGAGGCUGCUUGUGGAACAGACUGAGGAAUUGUCAUCUUGGAGGUGAGUGUGGAAUUGCUGAGAGAAGCUCCUGUAUUCAGAA